GCAUGCUAGUCUUACAUUCAAACCGACACUCAGAGAAACUAGGGAGCUUGUGCAAGACCAGCAAUAAGUAUGUGGGCAGCUGGGGUUCAACUAAGUCCUUCCCUGGAUCCAUCCGAGCUGCUCCGCCCCCCACCUCACUCCUACCACCCCACCAUGGCCCCCGAUAGACACAGCAGGUCUGAACAUUCGGCACCCCAAACGCAGAGUACGGAGCAGAGCCGGCUUCUGCAGUGGGAACUCACAUGCAACCCACUCCCCUUCUUGCCGAAUGCCUCGGGGCUCUGUGCGGUAAGGUCUGCAGAUGUGGCCUCACUCUGUUCCAGGAGAUCUGAGUGGCAGGCAGCGUUUUGGAGAGUGCUCGUCCAGACAGGAGAGAGGCAUCUGACGGGGCUCGUCGGCUGAUCCAUGAGACACAGGACACCUGAGAGAAGGGCUGAGAAACCUCACAAAGUCACUCCCAGCCUGGAGAGGACAGGACCACCGCGGGGUCCUCCCAGUCCACGCUUCGGACAGGUCUUGCUGCAGCCUGUGGUGCUUGUCAGGCGCGAGUAAUCUUCCCAGGGCAGGAGCUCUCGUUACACAGCAAAAGCGGCAUAGGUGAUGCAGCAGGGCGUACUUCAGCCUAGGGCUCAGGAACCACGGGGUGCAGCGCGGCCUGCAGCAAACCAGACACAUCAGAAGCCAAAGUCCCACCUUUUACAUUCAGUGACAUCGAACAGAGGGAGUUAUCUGUGGCAAUCGUCUUCCUGGGGGACCCGUACAGUGCGCAUGACCACCGACACUGACUACGAGUCCUUCCUAGGUCCUGGGGGCUACCCCACUUUACACGCGUUGGUUCCAUUCACAAAUCUAUGCGGGGCAGUUUUUAGCCCCAGCUUACAGAGGAGGAAAACGCUGCUGGAAAACUAAGUGAGAAAAUCAGACUUCAACACACCUGCCGUCUCCAAGACCCCUACUACUCUAUGUCCUAGGGUCUCAAGGGUUGGGUGUGUGGCAUUUUAAGUGACUAAUCAUAGGCGGUUUUCUUCUCUCCUACACCUGUUUAGCCUAAACGUGCACGUACAUGCCCUGCUGCAGGCGCACUGCCGUAUGUGGACCAGUGACGCUGUUUCCUGCCUCGGGUUCUCUUCACUGCUUUCCGAAAUUCUCUCGCCUGCUUUACAGCCAUGCCAGGCAGGCCUGGUCAGCCGCACAGUGAAAUUCUUGCAGUGUCAGAGCUAAGUGCUGGCUGAGACUUUAACAGCGAAGACAGCAGAGUAAUGGGGAUAAAGUGAACAAAACUAUUGUAAUGCAGACGAAAGUCUAGAAGCAAAAGAAGCUGACACCCCUGAGAGAGCAGGCGACUGCGUCUCACUAUGAUGUUAAUAGCAGCUUGUUGUUUCCAGCGCCUCUGUGUGCCAGGGUUUCCAGUCAGCGUUUGUGUUUAUCUGCUCCUGGGCUGCCUGACCAAAUCUCUGUAGAGAUCAGGGAUAUCUAAAUUGACCCAGUAUCUGCACGCUGGCUGCUCAGAGGCCGUGGUGUGGAACAGCCAGGACAUCGCUUAGUCAUACGGGGCACAAGCACGUCACUUGCCACUCCUGUCUAUUUCAUCAAACCCUAUUUUCUCCUGAAUAUUGACCAUAGCGAAGUCAUUAGCCUUCGAGAUGCAUUCGAGACAUCAACUUGCUUGGUUCAAGAGGUUUAAGACACACGUAAGUCUUUCUUGCCAUGCUCAACACACAGGGCCGGCCGUUUCUGAAGUCAGUGUUUGUGGAACAAAAGCCUUGGCCUGCCCCUUGAACAUUCACGCUGAGCACACUGUCGCGAGGCUGCUUGGCCAGCCAGCAGGGGGCAGGAGAGAGCCGCAGGUGCCGCGUGGGGUUCCUGCAAAGCUGCCUCACUCCCUCAAUCAAGGGCGGUGCCUCCUGCCAAUGCAGCGGCUUCCUCCGCGGGAAAGCGGCCUCUUCAGGUGCCACCGCACUGAUUUCAGAUGACUCAGCCAAUGGGGCAACAGAUUCAACCGAGUUCCAUGUUGUUAAAGGAAAACUUAUGUUACCAGGCAACCUUAAUAUCAGAUUCAACGUAAAAUAACCAACAAGAUUGUUUCCAAACCAACAUGCUACUAGUGCCUUAGCCUUCGAUGCUGCUUAAACACGGAAAAGUAUGAGGAAAAAAGAGCAUGACAUUUCUUAAAAAAUAACACCUCUUCCAGGUUCAUUUUAGCCAUAUCAUAAAGACUUAGAACUGUGGAUUCCCUACAGGAACGUGGAGUGCCGGUGGAUCCCCACGCUCACCCAGCCUCCCUGCAGGUCCGUCACCCCCCUACCACGGGGUUCACACCUCUCCAGGCCCUGUCACCUCAUCAAGGAAAGGUGGUGUCUCUAAGCUCUCUUCACUGGGAGCACCCGAACAGGAGCUAGAGAGACACAGACACACCCACAACUGCUUUAAAAUCCUGAAAUGCAAUACAUAUUUAAGGACUUCAUUAUAGUUUUUUAAAACUGUAAGAACAAAGUGAGCCUGCUUUUAACAUCUAUGCCACAAUAACACCGUGUACAUCUGUCUUUUGCUGUUUGUUCCUUCUCCAGCAGCUGCUGUCUGGCUGGCGGACUGAAGAAGAGCCUCUGGUACUCCCGGGAGAUCCUCGGUAAAAGCGUGAGCACCACGAUCACGUCUCAGGAUGCCGCAAACGUUAGGGUCGCCCACAGACCGCCAUUCCCAGUGCUUAUAAGGCACUGAACGGGCCUCCUGCUCUUUAUAAAUGUCAACCUUCCUAAGCUAUGUUGUGUUGAAAAAUUUUAACUGCAGUCCACAAAUACUUGUUUGUUUCUGUCUUGUUUUUAUCCUAGAGGCAUAUUAUUAUGGAAAAUUAAGUUUGCAAGGUUGAAGGGUUUUCUGAAAGUCAACUUCUAAUUCUGGAAGGAAAAAAAAAAAAGGCCAGAUGUGGUGCUCACACUUGUAAUUCCAGCAGUUUGGGAGGCUGAGGCCGGCAGAUUGCUUGAGCCCAGGAGCUCGAGACCAGUCUGGAAAACAUGGCAAAACCCUGUCUCUAUUAAAAAUACAAAAAAAAAAAUCCAAAACAAACAAACAAAAAAAAAACUAGCUGGGCGUGAUGACGUGUGUCUAGUCCCAGCUACUCAGGAAGCUGAGGUGGGAGGAUCACCUGAGCCCAGGAGGAGAAGGCUGCAGUCAGCCAAGAUUUGCGUCACUGCACUCCAGCCUGGCCAACAAGAGCGAGUCCACUUCAAAAUAAAAAUAAAAAUAAAAAUA
Molecule: long non-coding RNA, 3249 nt
Filed under: Macaca fascicularis (crab-eating macaque)
Lineage: Eukaryota; Metazoa; Chordata; Mammalia; Primates; Cercopithecidae
Description: lncRNA (ENSMFAG00000051714.1)
Source: RNAcentral